UCAGGAUGAACGCUAGCGACAGGCUUAACACAUGCAAGUCGAGGGGCAGCGGGGGUGAUGGCUUGCCAUCACCUGCCGGCGACCGGCGCACGGGUGAGUAACACGUAUGCAACCUGCCCGCCACAGGGGGAUAAGCGGAAGAAAUUCCGUCUAAUACCGCGUGACGCGGCGCCGGGGCAUCCCGGUGCCGCCAAAGGGAUUACCGGUGGCGGAUGGGCAUGCGGCGCAUUAGCUAGUCGGCGGGGUAACGGCCCACCGAGGCGACGAUGCGUAGGGGUUCUGAGAGGAAGGUCCCCCACACUGGUACUGAGACACGGACCAGACUCCUACGGGAGGCAGCAGUGAGGAAUAUUGGUCAAUGGGCGCGAGCCUGAACCAGCCAAGUCGCGUGAGGGAUGACGGUCCUACGGAUUGUAAACCUCUUUUGCCGGGGAGCAAGCGUGCGUUCGUGAACGCGCGUCGAGAGUACCCGGAGAAAAAGCAUCGGCUAACUCCGUGCCAGCAGCCGCGGUAAUACGGAGGAUGCGAGCGUUAUCCGGAUUUAUUGGGUUUAAAGGGUGCGUAGGCGGGAUGCCAAGUCAGCGGUAAAAAUGCGGUGCUCAACGCCGUCGAGCCGUUGAAACUGGCGUUCUUGAGUGGGCGAGAAGUAUGCGGAAUGCGUGGUGUAGCGGUGAAAUGCAUAGAUAUCACGCAGAACUCCGAUUGCGAAGGCAGCAUACCGGCGCCCUACUGACGCUGAGGCACGAAAGCGUGGGUAUCGAACAGGAUUAGAUACCCUGGUAGUCCACGCAGUAAACGAUGAAUGCUAACUGUCCGGCUCGAAUGAGCGCUGGGCGGUACAGCGAAAGCGUUAAGCAUUCCACCUGGGGAGUACGCCGGCAACGGUGAAACUCAAAGGAAUUGACGGGGGCCCGCACAAGCGGAGGAACAUGUGGUUUAAUUCGAUGAUACGCGAGGAACCUUACCCGGGCUCAAACGCAGGAUGACGGGUCCCGAAAGGGGUCUUUCUUCGGACAUUCUGCGAGGUGCUGCAUGGUUGUCGUCAGCUCGUGCCGUGAGGUGUCGGCUUAAGUGCCAUAACGAGCGCAACCCCUGUCCACAGUUGCCAGCAGGUAAAGCUGGGGACUCUGUGGAGACUGCCGGCGCAAGCUGCGAGGAAGGCGGGGAUGACGUCAAAUCAGCACGGCCCUUACGUCCGGGGCGACACACGUGUUACAAUGGCAGGUACAGCGGGAUGCCACGGGGCGACCCGGCGCUGAACCCGAAAACCUGUCUCAGUUCGGAUUGGAGUCUGCAACCCGACUCCAUGAAGCUGGAUUCGCUAGUAAUCGCGCAUCAGCCACGGCGCGGUGAAUACGUUCCCGGGCCUUGUACACACCGCCCGUCAAGCCAUGGAAGCCGGGGGUACCUGAGUGCGUGACCGCGAGGAGCGCCCUAGGGUAAAACCGGUGACUGGGGCUAAGUCGUAACAAGGUAGCCGU
This 1481-nucleotide ribosomal RNA is filed under the name uncultured bacterium. Its description in RNAcentral is "16S ribosomal RNA". It matches the Rfam family "Bacterial small subunit ribosomal RNA". The record is from RNAcentral.